UACAGCGGGUGCGAGCGUUGUCCGGAAUCACUGGGCGUAAAGGGCGCGUAGGCGGCUUGAUAAGCGUGCGGUGAAAGCCCGGGGCUCAACCCCGGGUCGGCCGUGCGAACUGUCGAGCUGGAGCACUGUAGAGGCAGGUGGAAUUCCGGGUGUAGCGGUGGAAUGCGUAGAGAUCCGGAAGAACACCGGUGGCGAAGGCGGCCUGCUGGGCAGUGGCUGACGCUGAGGCGCGACAGCGUGGGGAGCAAACAGG
Molecule: ribosomal RNA, 253 nt
Filed under: uncultured bacterium
Lineage: Bacteria
Description: partial 16S ribosomal RNA
Rfam family: Bacterial small subunit ribosomal RNA
Source: RNAcentral